RNAcentral lists this long non-coding RNA (5589 nucleotides) under Sus scrofa (pig). Its description in RNAcentral is "lncRNA (ENSSSCG00045025457.1)". Lineage: Eukaryota; Metazoa; Chordata; Mammalia; Artiodactyla; Suidae. The record is from RNAcentral.
AAUUUCAAUUGAUAAUUUCUCUCCUAUGCUUUAAAGUUUCAACAUAUAUUGUGUGAUAGAUCUAGAAACCAGUCAUUAUAGUGUAAAGGUGCUAUAAAAUAAGCUUCUACAGAACAUAACUUGACAACUUGUUUUCAUUUGUUUUUCAGGAGGAGUUUAAACAUUUAAAUAUAUGUUUUAGUUCUUGGUAUGAAGCAAGAUAGGAAAAUUUAUAGUUAAUUGAAUUGAAAGUUAAAUUACUUUAGAUUUGAUGAAUAUCCCACAAAACCUGGACAUUAUGCAUUUGGUUAAAGGACAUAUUUUUUAUUUCACAUUCUGUGUCACUUUCUGGCUUUUUUGUGGGGAGAGUCAUUGAGGAAAUAUAAAAAUAGGUAUCAGAUAAUUAGGAAAUGUAGAUUCAGUAGAUCUGUUAAAUGUUCUGCUGGUACAGGGUGACAACAUAAAUGUUGAUAUGCACCUGACAAAAAUAGUGCUCUGGUAUUCUUGGCUGUGGGCUUAUUUUAUCUGCUGUGACAAAGAACUGACUAUCUCUACCUCUGAGAGUAUGUUCCUAAAAUGGAAGUUAAAUUGUCUAGACAACUAAUAUUAGAGAAAAGUUCACUUAUCAGCUUAAAUAAACUCUUGAAUCCAUGGACUUCUGAAACAACACACAUUUUAAAUGCAAAUGCAAUCUUGAAUUUUCUAAUGGGUAAAUAGUUGAAAAUAUACGUUGUUCUGUUUCUAUAUCUUUUUCAGAGAGUUAAAAUUCCCUUCUGUCUGCUUUCCAGUUCUCAUGCCCUCAGAACAGAAAAAUUCUUUUUUUAAAUUCAAAUUUACUAAGUUGGUUGAGAUACAGUAUCACCACCCAAAUAGUGACUUUAAGAUUCAUAUUUAAAUUUUUAUAUGAUUUAAAAUAAUCAGUUUUGAAGAUUAAAGUAUUUGUUUUACCUAAUUAACUCUUUUUAUGUGAUUGUUUUAUCUUAUAGCUUCAAAUUUAGCUGGUAGUAUAGAAAAACUGCAAUGCAGUCAUUUACUCAGGGAUAUAUAUAUAUAUUUAUCUCAUGCCACCUAGUAACUGUAAAUAAUUUAUUUUCUAAGAGAAAUAUGUAUAACAGAUUAGCUAAAGUCUAGGCAGUUUAUUAUUCCUCUAUGCUUUUCCGUAAUUAAGCCACACUAUUAGAGAACUAUGUAUCUGAGCUAUAUUUUGUCAGUCUCCCAUAGUUUGGUUCUUUCCUAAGUCCUCUUUUACUUAGUUCAUAUUGAGAAAAAAACCCUAUGCUGUAUGUCAAUAUGCUAUUAGGGAUUGUCGAAGUUAUAGCUAAUUACAUUAAUUAUUUUACAUGGGUGCUAACCUUUUUUGGAUGUUGGUAUCAAGAUUCAUUAUGUUUCGUUCAGAGUAAUUUUUGCAUAAUGCAGUGUUAUCUAAACUAUUCUGAAAUCACUAAUAUGUCAGAAGAUGUCUGUAAAAAGAACUGAAAAAAACAAUAGGAUUUGGGUUCAGAUAUGUUUUGGAAAAUGGGCUUACCUUCAAGCCUCUUGAACAUUUACAGUGACCAUUAGCAUGGUUAAAAUGCACUGGGCCAUUCUUCAGUGGAGCAGCCUCUUUAAUUAAGAGAACAUGUUACAAAUACAGUUGAAUAACCAGGUUUUUACUGUGUGGGCCCACUUAUUUUCCUGUAUAUUACAUAAUUCAUGGGAGAAUUAUCAUCACAGUAGCAUGUAUCACUAUGCAUGAUAAUGUUGUAUACCAUGCAACAAUCAGGUGUAAUAAGGUGGAGUUACAUAAAGCAACAUAUACAGAUCUCGAAAAUGUAAUCAGAACGAGAGUGUUCUAUGAACUUUACAAGAAUAGAGCACAUGCUACCUGGCAAGUAAUUAGAACUUCUUCAUAUGCAAGAUUAAAAUAACCUCCUUCCUCUGGCUCCUUUUACCUACAUAUUUUGCAUACAGUUUUGCACCUACUUUAAUGGCUUUCUUUCUUCCUUAUAAUAAUUUAGGGGUGUUUGUAAGCCUCCUUGGUAAAGCUUGGCUACAAAUAAACAAAAUAAACUUUAUUCUAAAUCAGUAAUUGCUUGUCUUGUUGAGUAGUGGUAACUUUGAAUUAUUUCCUUGUUCUUCCAUCCUUUUACCUGGGGGUAGGGAGAGAGGAGGUAGGAUAUUUGCAUGUGUAUGUGAUAAUUCUGAGCUUUGACAACAAUGUUCCUCUUGCCAAGAUCAUCUAGUUUGAUUAGCAUCUUUAUGUAUUUCAUCUAUUUAUUGUGUAGAUGAGAAGAUGAGCAGAAAAAAAAGGAGUCAAAGGAAAACACUAUUGUGUUCUCUGGGACCUCUUCAUAUGAAGGGGACAUCAUUCAUUAUUUUCUGACGAUAAAAAUCAGGAAUGUAACAAUAGAUAUCAGGGAUGAGGAUAGUAUGUAAAACAUGCAGGACUGUGAAGAGCGUUGAAAAUGAUAUUCGGCAUUACAGGUCAGCCUAAAUCAUAACUGUUGUUAUAUUGUUGAAUCAUGCUUAUGGUAAAUUGGUUUCUGUCUCAAGAAAAAAGUUUAUUACUUAUCUACUGUGCAGGUAGGACAGGUAAGAACUGUGAAACACAAGGAGUGGCUACAAAAAAAAAGUGAAGUGGAGGCAUUGCAAGGAGUCCUCAGUUUGAAAAGUCCUGCUGGUUGUGUAAUAAAAAGUUUAUUUCCUUUUCUUUCAAUGCAUCAGGCAAUAGACAUCACACUCAUUGAACUUUAAAAAGUCCUACUUUCUUGUUAUAUAAUAAUGCAGUUAAGCUUGAUGGCAUCAUUUAAUUUACUGUCCCAUGAUCAAUUAGAUAAAUUAGGGGCUGUAUAAUGGAGUGGCUAAGAGCUUUGUCUCUGGAAUUAUUAAAAUCUGGGGAAGAAUCUGAUCUUAACAAAUAGUUGUGGAAUUUGGUGCGUGUAUUUAAACUCAGCCUUCUUUUCAUCUAUAGAAUGGGAUAAUGGUAGUAGAAAUCUCAUAGGGUUGUUGCAAGAAUGAAAUUGAAUAAUGCUGAUAAAAGUAGUCAGCACACUAACUAGCGCUUAGUAAGUAAUCAAAUUUAGCUAUGUGAUUAUUACUGCUAUUCCUUAUUGAUUUAUAUUUGUUUUAUUAUCUUUACCUCAUGUUCCUCAGCUGAGAGCAGUUAUGCCCCCAGAGGAUGUUUGACAAUGUUUGGAGACAGUUUUGAUUGUUACAGUUUUGGGGGUGCAUGGAGGGGAGUGGAGGAGGGAAGGUGCUGCUGGCAUCUAGUGGAUAGAAGCCAGGGAUGCUGCUGAAUAUUAUGUUGUGCACAGGACAGCCUCAUGACAAAGAAUUAUUUGGCUGCAGUAUGUCAACGGUAGAGAGGUUGAGAAACUUUAUUUAUUUUUGAGCCCUAAGCUGAAUGAUAUUAAUUCUUUUGUAUUUCUUUAAUAUCUACUGGUAUGUAAUGCUUUCUUUGUGUUAUAGUCAAAUUGGUAGCCCCAUCUAUGUAACCACAGUUUCUUUCUUUCUUAAGUUUUUCCCAUUAACGGUAAGUUCUAUGAAAGAGUCAUCAGAAGAUUCCUUAUUUUUUAUUCCCCAGAACACAGAAUAUGAAGGCCUUUGGUUUUAGGAUAAAGCGAGUAUAUAAACAUCAAAAAAGAAAUAAUUUUGAUUAGAAUUAUUUUAUUCUUUGUACACCAUUUAUUAUAAGAAAUGAGUUCUCAAGAAUGGCUGUACAUGAUAUGAACAGGAAUAUAAAUAUCUGGUAAAUGUCAACAAAGGUAGAAAUAUAAAAUACGGUUUAAACAUGAAAAAUUAAUACAUACAAUUAAAUUUAAAUUACCUACUCUGACUAGUGAAAUGCAUACAGCUCUUUGCAAAUCGAGACUGGUACUUUUUCAGUAUUUAUGUGACAAGAAAUAGAUAUAAUUUAUUAAAAUUUUGGAAAUAACUGUAAUUUUAAUGUCAUAUGGGUUGUUUUUACAGUGAAUUUUGUUGAACUGAUGUGCUUACAAAGGGGAUGAUAGGAAUUGCUUUCUCUAGGUCCUUUACUUGUAAAAAGUCAGAAAUCUAUGCUUUCUUGGCCUUUUUCCAUAUUCAGUAAAACCCCGUAUAAAUUUCUGUUCUAUUCAAUGCGUUUAGUACAGUGAUGUAUAGCAUUCUUUUACUAUAACAUGGAAAUCAUGUGUUAUUCCUAUCACUUUAGGACCCAAAUGAACAAAGAUAAUAGUAUAAUUUCAUCUGAAUAAUCUGGACUGUGACAGAAUGACAAGUAUAGAUAAAGCAAUAGAUAUCUUUACUUCUCUCUCUCAGCAUUGACUUUAUUUCCACAUAAUAUAUUUUUAUUGGAAGUCAUCAUUUAAGACUUAGAUUCACAUGUAGAGAAGUAUUAAAGUCCUAGAGUAUUAUUAGUGGUUCAUUGUCAGCCUGAGUUUGAACAGUAGGUCAGGGGACUUUUGAAUGAUGCUUCCAGGGCAUGUGAAAUUAUUAAACAUGUUCAUAGAUGACCUGGCUGAUGAGAUGAAAAAUCUAUAAAAUUAUGAAGAUCAUAAUAUCAGAUUGGUACUCUGGGGUUUAUUGUUGAUAAUUUGAAUUGAGAGUUAUUUAACAAGGAGAAAAAAUAGAAAUUCAUGGGUUAAAGAUUAAUGGAAUAAUUCUACUAGUUAUAAAUAAAAGAGAGCCCAUAAAUAAAAGAUGUAAAAGCUUGGGCCUUUAUUCAUAGAUUAGAAGCUAAAUAUGAAUAAGAAGCAUAGUAUUUUAAAAAUAUGUUUAUAAAACUCCAAUGUUGUAUAAUGGGAAGUCAUUGUUUAGGAACUACAAUGUAAUCUAUUCAUGACUUACAAAGGAGAUGGGAAGUUUAAUGAUCUUGUGAAAAACGGAGCAUACUGCUUAUUACAGUAAUGUCUGGGACCAUCAGGCAGGAAUAAGUACUAUUGGGGCAUUAAUUUCUCCAUCAUAAUUGAAAACCCAGAGAUGGCUUUGUUUUCAUGAAUAUGAGGCCAGAGAUUCAAGACUUUCAUCAUCUUUGUCUUGCUUUUUGUGAAGAUAAUAUGGCUCGUGAUUCUUGUUGCUUAAAUGAACAUAGUCAUUUUUUAAAAAAUUUUCCAAAAAUUCUCCAAAUACUCAGGACAAAAAAAAAAAUAAAACCCAAUAACAACUGUAGUUUUCAGACUUUUGUUAGAUACAGAUCCUUUCUUGAGACUACACCUGGAUGUUCAAUAUGCAAAGCAGAUAAAAAGGAAGCUGUUUUGUUUGGAGAAUGACAGGUGGCCUCUCUAAACUUUAGGCAUAUCUUCACUUCAAAAACCUGUUUAUUGAAAAUACUCAAAAUUUUUACCCUUUCUGAUACUCAAAAAAGCAAACUGUUCUGGAAAGCAGACUGCUAGCUGUUAGAAUGUUCUACAAGUCGAUAGCAUGAAAUGUUUAUUUAUGCUAUGUGUAAAAGUAAGGUCAGCAUACACAGAAUUUACAUAAUUAAAAUUUAUAAUGCAACAUUAAAUUUUAAAAAUGAUUACAGAAUUUUAUUUAUUUUUUCAACUGUACAGCAUGAGGGCCAAGUUACACAUACAUGUAUACAUACUUUUUCCUCCCAUUGUUGUGUUGCAGUGUAAGUAUCUAGACAUAGUUCUCAAUGCUACACAGCAGGAU